This is a long non-coding RNA of Cygnus olor (mute swan), 307 nucleotides long. RefSeq lists it as uncharacterized. The record is from RefSeq and is a predicted model, not a curated record. The transcript is spliced from 2 exons. NCBI's taxonomy places the organism in Eukaryota, Metazoa, Chordata, Aves, Anseriformes, Anatidae.
AUCCCGUAGACGAACACUAGCUAAAUGAUACACCUGUUGAAAUUGAGACUAUGCUUAGGAGCACAUCAAUACUGCUUUUCUCAUCCAAGCUAAAGCACAGUUCAGACUUGUACAGCCUGUAGAACUUGUGCAAAUGGUAUUGUAACAGUUUGCCCGUUAUUGGCUGUUACGGUGGCAGUUGCCACUGUGACCAGCGUCUGGCCAGGCACAGGAGUUACGGACAUUGCUUCGGGAUUCAUGUUCUGCACAGGCACCGUAUUUACCACGGGCUGCUGGGAAACUCUUACUGGAGUUCCGUUGUCAGAGG